Molecule: ribosomal RNA, 496 nt
Filed under: uncultured bacterium
Lineage: Bacteria
Description: bacterial SSU rRNA
Rfam family: Bacterial small subunit ribosomal RNA
Source: RNAcentral
AUUGAACGCUGGUGGCAUGCUUAACACAUGCAAGUCGAACGGUAACAGGUCUUCGGAUGCUGACGAGUGGCGGACGGGUGAGUAACGCGUAGGAAUCUGCCCAUUUGAGGGGGAUACCAGUUGGAAACGACUGUUAAUACCGCAUAAUAUCUGUGGAUUAAAGGUGGCUUAGGCUGCCGCAGAUGGAUGAGCCUGCGUUGGAUUAGCUAGUUGGUGGGGUAAGGGCCUACCAAGGCUACGAUCCAUAGCUGAUUUGAGAGGAUGAUCAGCCACAUUGGGACUGAGACACGGCCCAAACUCCUACGGGAGGCAGCAGUGGGGAAUAUUGGACAAUGGGGGAAACCCUGAUCCAGCAAUGCCAUGUGUGUGAAGAAGGCUCUAGGGUUGUAAAGCACUUUAGUUGGGGAGAAAGCCUAUGAGUUAAUAGCUUGUAGGAAGGACGUUACCCAAAGAAUAAGGACCGGCUAACUCCGUGCCAGCAGCCGCGGUAAAGUAG